This 406-nucleotide ribosomal RNA is filed under the name uncultured bacterium. RNAcentral's name for it is "partial 16S ribosomal RNA". It matches the Rfam family "Bacterial small subunit ribosomal RNA", at positions 28 to 526 of the family's 1533-position model. The record is from RNAcentral.
GAUGAACGCUAGCUACAGGCUUAACACAUGCAAGUCGAAGGCCCGGCGCACGGGUGAGUAACACGUAUCCACCCUGCCCUUUCCUCGGGGAUAGCCUUUCGAAAGAAAUAUUACUACCCGAUUUAACCGAUGGGGAUGCGUUCCAUUAGGUUGUUGGUGAGGUAACGGCUAACCAAGCCUUCGAUGGAUAGGGGUUCUGAGAGGAAGGUCCCCCACAUGGGAACUGAGGAACGGGCCAAACUGGUAAGGGAGGCAGCAGUGAGGAAGAUUGGUCAAUGGGCGUUAGCCUGAACCAGCCAAGUAGAGUGAAGGAGGAAGGCUUAGGGGGCGUAAACUGCUUGUAUAUAAGAAGAUGUAUUAGAUGAAUAAGGAUCGGCUAACUCCGUGCCAGCAGCCGCGGUAAUAC